RNAcentral lists this ribosomal RNA (460 nucleotides) under uncultured bacterium. RNAcentral's name for it is "partial 16S ribosomal RNA". It matches the Rfam family "Bacterial small subunit ribosomal RNA", at positions 338 to 795 of the family's 1533-position model. The record is from RNAcentral.
CCUACGGGUGGCAGCAGUGAGGAAUAUUGGUCAAUGGGCGCGAGCCUGAACCAGCCAAGUCGCGUGAAGGAUGACUGCCCUACGGUUUGUAACCUUCUUUUAUAAAGGAAUAAAGUGAGGCACGUGUGCCUUUUUGUAUGUACUUUAUGAAUAAGGAUCGGCUAACUCCGUUCCAGCAGCCGCGGUAAUACGGAGGAUACGAGCGUUAUCCGGAUUUAUUGGGUUUAAAGGGAGCGUAGAUGGGUUGUUAAGUCAGUUGUGAAAGUUUGCGGCUCAACCGUAAAAUUGCAAUUGAUACUGGUAGUCUUGAGUGCAGUUGAGGUAGGCGGAAUUCGUGGUGUAGCGGUGAAAUGCUUAGAUAUCACGAAGAACUCCGAUUGCGAAGGCAGCUUACUAAACUGCCACUGACAUUGAUGCUCGAAAGUGUGGGUAUCAAACAGGAUUAGAUACCCGAGUAGUC